GACGGAGGAGGCAAGCGUUAUCCGGAAUUAUUGGGCGUAAAGCGUCCGCAGGUGGCGAUUCAAGUCUGCUGUCAAAGGUCGGGGCUUAAACCCGGGAAGGCAGUGGAAACUGAAUAGCUAGAGUGCGGUAGGGGCAGAGGGAAUUCCCGGUGUAGCGGUGAAAUGCGUAGAGAUCGGGAAGAAUACCAGUGGCGAAAGCGCUCUGCUGGGCCUGCACUGACACUGAGGGACCAAAGCUAGGGGAGCGGAAGGG
This 253-nucleotide ribosomal RNA is filed under the name uncultured bacterium. RNAcentral's name for it is "partial 16S ribosomal RNA". It matches the Rfam family "Bacterial small subunit ribosomal RNA", at positions 524 to 776 of the family's 1533-position model. The record is from RNAcentral.